GACGAACGCUGGCGGCGUGCUUAACACAUGCAAGUCGAACGGAAAGGCCCUGCUUGCAGGGUACUCGAGUGGCGAACGGGUGAGUAACACGUGGGUGAUCUGCCCUGCACUUUGGGAUAAGCCUGGGAAACUGGGUCUAAUACCGGAUAGGAGCCAUUUUUAGUGUGAUGGUUGGAAAGUUUUUUCGGUGUAGGAUGAGCUCGCGGGCUAUCAGCUUGGUGGUGGGGUAAUGGCCUACCAAGGCGGCGGCGGGUAGCCGGCCAGGGAGGGUGGACGGCCACAAUUGGACUGGGGAACGGCCCAGGCUCCCACGGGGGGCAAGAAGGGGGAAAAUUGCACAAUUGGGGCAAACCUGGUGCAGCGACGCCCGGGGGGGGGUGACGGCCUUCGGGUUGUAAACUCCUUUCGCGAGGGACAAAACUUUUUGUGACGGUACCUGGAGAAGAAGCACCGGCUAACUACGUG
This 465-nucleotide ribosomal RNA is filed under the name uncultured bacterium. Its description in RNAcentral is "partial 16S ribosomal RNA". It matches the Rfam family "Bacterial small subunit ribosomal RNA", at positions 28 to 507 of the family's 1533-position model. The record is from RNAcentral.